Molecule: non-coding RNA, 120 nt
Organism: Papio anubis (olive baboon)
Lineage: Eukaryota; Metazoa; Chordata; Mammalia; Primates; Cercopithecidae
Source: Rfam
GCUGUAUUACAUAAUUAUCAUCUUCUCUGAGGGAGAAAAAAAAAAGUAGCUGAGAGCCACUUUCAGUCCCGCUAUUAAGUACAUUUUGACCUCUAAGAAACUUCGUGUGGUUCACCUCAG